RNAcentral lists this ribosomal RNA (1370 nucleotides) under metagenome. RNAcentral's name for it is "SSU rRNA". It matches the Rfam family "Eukaryotic small subunit ribosomal RNA", at positions 3 to 1368 of the family's 1831-position model. The record is from RNAcentral.
CCUGGUUGAUCCUGCCAGUAGUCAUAUGCUUGUCUCAAAGAUUAAGCCAUGCAUGUCUAAGUACACACUUUGGUAAAGUGAAACCGCGAAUGGCUCAUUAAAUCAGCUACAAUUUAUUAGAUCGUACACUGUUACUUGGAUAACUGUGGGAAUUCUAGAGCUAAUACAUGCCGAGAGUCUCUGCUCUUCGGGGCAGAGCGCAGUUAUUAGACCAAAACCAGCCGUAUUCUUCGGGGUACGCUCUUUUGGUGACUCUGGAUAACCUUCAGCCGAUCGCAUGGCCUCGUGCCGGCGACGUAUCUUUCAAGUGUCUGCCCUAUCAACUUUCGAUGGUACGUGAUAUGCCUACCAUGGUGAUAACGGGUAACGGGGAAUCAGGGUUCGAUUCCGGAGAGGGAGCCUGAGAAAUGGCUACCACAUCCAAGGAUGGCAGCAGGCGCGCAAAUUACCCACUCCCAGCUUGGGGAGGUAGUGACGAAAAAUAACAAUGCGGGACUCUAAGAGGCCCCGUAAUUGGAAUGAGUACACCUUAAAUCGUUUAACGAGUAUCAAUUGGAGGGCAAGUCUGGUGCCAGCAGCCGCGGUAAUUCCAGCUCCAAUAGCGUAUAUUAAAGUUGCUGCAGUUAAAAAGCUCGUAGUUGGAUCUGGGGCUUGAGGUCGCUGUCUAUCGUUUCGGCGAUGACGGUGAUGCUCAGCUCUGCUUGCCGGUGACUGUUGCGGUGUUCUUCACUGAGCGCUGUAGCAGCACGGCACGUUUACUUUGAAAAAAUUAGAGUGCUCAAAGCGUGCUUGUCGCUUGAAUAAUGUUGCAUGGAAUAAUGGAAUAGGACCUCGGUUCUAUUUUGUUGGUUUUCGGAGCUUGAGGUAAUGAUUAAGAGGGACGAACGGGGGCAUUCGUAUUGCGGUGUUAGAGGUGAAAUUCUUGGAUCGCCGCAAGACGGACUACUGCGAAAGCAUUUGCCAAGAACGCUUUCAUUAAUUAAGAACGAAAGUCAGAGGUUCGAAGACGAUCAGACACCGUCCUAGUUCUGACCAUAAACGAUGCCGACCAGCGAUCCGUAGUGGUUGCUUUAUGGACCCUACGGGCAGCCUCCGGGAAACCAAAGUAUUUGGGUUCCGGGGGAAGUAUGGUUGCAAAGCUGAAACUUAAAGGAAUUGACGGAAGGGCCCACCAGGAGUGGAGCCUGCGGCUUAAUUUGACCCAACACGGGAAAACUCACCCGGUCCGGACACCGUAAGGAUUGACAGACUGAUAACUCUUUCUUGAUUCGGUGGAUGGUGGUGCAUGGCCGUUCUUAGUUGGUGGAGUGAUUUGUCUGGUUAAUUCCGAUAACGAACGAGACUCUAGCCUGCUAAGUAGUGUUGCUAUU